GAUGAAGAACGUAGCGAAAUGCGAUACGUAGUGUGAAUUGCAGAAUUCAGUGAAUCAUCGAAUCUUUGAACGCACAUUGCACCUCUCGGUAUUCCGGGAGGUAUGCCUGUUCGAGCGUCAUUUGUACCCUCAAGCUCUGCUUGGUGUUGGGUGUUUGUUCCGCCUCUGUUUGUGAACUCGCCUCAAAACAAUUGGCAGCCGGCGUACUUGUUUCGGAGCGCAGCACAUUUUGCGAUCCAGAUCAACGUACAGCGGCAUCCAAGAAGCCUUAUUUAACGCUCUUGACCUCGGAUCAGGUAGGGAUACCCGCUGAACUUAAGCAUAUCAAUAAGCGGAGGA
This 339-nucleotide unclassified non-coding RNA is filed under the name soil metagenome. RNAcentral describes it as "partial contains 5.8S ribosomal RNA, internal transcribed spacer 2, and large subunit ribosomal RNA". The stretch from base 1 to 120 matches the Rfam family "5.8S ribosomal RNA", at positions 35 to 154 of the family's 154-position model. The record is from RNAcentral.